GACGAACGCUGGCGGCGUGCCUAAUACAUGCAAGUCGAACGAGAGCAACCGGUGCUUGCACUGGUCAAUCUAGUGGCGAACGGGUGAGUAACACGUGGGUAACCUGCCCAUCAGAGGGGGAUAACAUCCGGAAACGGAUGCUAAAACCGCAUAGGUCUUCGAACCGCAUGGUUUGAAGAGGAAAGGAGGCGCAAGCUUCUGCUGAUGGAUGUACCCGCGGUGCAUUAGCUAGUUGGUGAGGUAACGGCUCACCAAGGCCGUGAUGCAUAGCCGACCUGAGAGGGUGAUCGGCCACAUUGGGACUGAGACACGGCCCAAACUCCUACGGGAGGCAGCAGUAGGGAAUCUUCCGCAAUGGACGCAAGUCUGACGGAGCAACGCCGCGUGAGUGAAGAAGGUUUUCGGAUCGUAAAACUCUGUUGUUAGAGAAGAACAAGUGCUAGAGUAACUGUUAGCGCCUUGACGGUAUCUAACCAGAAAGCCACGGCUAACUACGUG
RNAcentral lists this ribosomal RNA (498 nucleotides) under uncultured bacterium. RNAcentral's name for it is "partial 16S ribosomal RNA". It matches the Rfam family "Bacterial small subunit ribosomal RNA", at positions 28 to 507 of the family's 1533-position model. The record is from RNAcentral.